UCCGGUUUGUCACCGGCAGUCUCAUUAGAGUGCCCAACUGAAUGUAGCAACUAAUGACAAGGGUUGCGCUCGUUGCGGGACUUAACCCAACAUCUCACGACACGAGCUGACGACAGCCAUGCAGCACCUGUGUUCCCGUUCCCUUUCGGGCACAGCCCCCUUUCAGGGGCCUCCAGGACAUGUCAAGGGUAGGUAAGGUGGGGAUGACGUUGACGUCAUAACC
This 223-nucleotide unclassified non-coding RNA is filed under the name uncultured Gammaproteobacteria bacterium. RNAcentral describes it as "contains 16S-23S intergenic spacer region". The record is from RNAcentral. Lineage: Bacteria; Pseudomonadati; Pseudomonadota; Gammaproteobacteria.